AGUGAACGCUGGCGGUAGGCCUAACACAUGCAAGUCGAACGGCAGCACAGUAAGAGCUUGCUCUUACGGGUGGCGAGUGGCGGACGGGUGAGGAAUACAUCGGAAUCUACUUUUUCGUGGGGGAUAACGUAGGGAAACUUACGCUAAUACCGCAUACGACCUACGGGUGAAAGCAGGGGAUCUUCGGACCUUGCGCGAUUGAAUGAGCCGAUGUCGGAUUAGCUAGUUGGCGGGGUAAAGGCCCACCAAGGCGACGAUCCGUAGCUGGUCUGAGAGGAUGAUCAGCCACACUGGAACUGAGACACGGUCCAGACUCCUACGGGAGGCAGCAGUGGGGAAUAUUGGACAAUGGGCGCAAGCCUGAUCCAGCUAUACCGCGUGGGUGAAGAAGGCCUUCGGGUUGUAAAGCCCUUUUGUUAGGAAAGAAAAGCAGCAGGUUAAUACCCCGCUGUUCUGACGGUACCCAAAGAAUAAGCACCGGCUAACUUCGUG
Molecule: ribosomal RNA, 492 nt
Filed under: uncultured bacterium
Lineage: Bacteria
Description: partial 16S ribosomal RNA
Rfam family: Bacterial small subunit ribosomal RNA
Source: RNAcentral